Molecule: ribosomal RNA, 253 nt
Filed under: uncultured bacterium
Lineage: Bacteria
Description: partial 16S ribosomal RNA
Rfam family: Bacterial small subunit ribosomal RNA
Source: RNAcentral
UACGAAGGGGGCUAGCGUUGUUCGGAAUCACUGGGCGUAAAGGGCGCGUAGGCGGCUUUAUAAGUCGGGGGUGAAAGCCUGUGGCUCAACCACAGAAUUGCCUUCGAUACUGUAGAGCUUGAGACCGGAAGAGGUAAGUGGAACUGCGAGUGUAGAGGUGAAAUUCGUAGAUAUUAGGAAGAACACCAGUGGCGAAGGCGGCUCACUGGCCCGGUACUGACGCUGAGGCGCGAAAGCGUGGGGAGCAAACAGG